GGCACAUUAUAUAUAGGGGCGCUUUCCGCUGGGGGAACCUCUUGCCCUCUGACUCCGGGCUUGCCCUUUCGUCUUCCGGGUCGCCUCGCUUCCGCCCGCGGUCAACAGCUUGCAGCCGCACCGAUUGUAGGCGAGAGGCCGAAGCAGGGGUCCCUUCAUGGGCCAAUUGCGCCGCGGAGGUCGAGCUCAUCACUCCUCUCCCCCUCAGGUGUGUGCUGGGGCAGCCUGAUUGUGGUGGAAAUCUCCAAACUAUCCCCUUGCGGAACCGCUGCUGUUUUGCCUGUACUGUUCUGCCUGUAUUGUUUUGCCUGCGCUUCUUUGCCUGUGACGACGACCUCGCACGCGGCACAGCGUGCGUGGCACACGACGCCGUCUUCCCCCGCUGUUGUUGCCCGCCUGCCGCUUCCCAAACAGCGGCCAUCUACUGUUGCGGGUUCAACGCUGGCUGCUUUCCCACCCAAGCCAAGGCUUGGGCUGGUUUUAAUGUGGACUGGAGCGUUGUGAUUUAUUUUUGUGUUUGAUUUCACCUGAGUUUAGUUUAUGAUAUAUUGUUUUUUUUCUUUUGUUUGGUUUUCUCUGUUAUUGGAUGUGUCUACUUUCUGAUUUAUUUGUUCUCUUUAGUUUGUUUAAUUGACAUGUUGAUUUCAGUGAAACCAUUUUUGAUUGGUUUUGUUAUUUGGUGUAUUUUCAUUAUGAUUAUUUUGGGUUGUGUGCUCCACUAAUUUUAUUUCCUUUCCUUUCCCCCUUAGCUACUGAGUGCCGACGGUGUGGUGGUGCUGUCCAGGGUGGUGGCCUCCCCUUCUUCUUGUGUGCGUGUUGAGACCCCCAUUUUUUUAGUUUCUUUCACCAGAGUGCAGUGGUUGUGAUUCACGUGUGUUUGGGGUGCCUUCAGUUUUGUUCUCCUCACUGGGAUUUCCCUUCACUCCUCGUCAUCUCCCACCAGCCGGUAAGCCUCAGCCCCCAAUUAGGUGUUCCUUUUGUCUUUUGUGUGUGCUUUUAUUGUGUUUCUUUUAUAUUGUUUAUAUUUCAAUAAAUGUUCUAUGGAUGAUUGAA
Molecule: long non-coding RNA, 1053 nt
Organism: Myripristis murdjan (pinecone soldierfish)
Lineage: Eukaryota; Metazoa; Chordata; Actinopteri; Holocentriformes; Holocentridae
Exons: 3
Source: RefSeq, a predicted model, not a curated record